RNAcentral lists this transfer RNA (61 nucleotides) under Myxine glutinosa (Atlantic hagfish). RNAcentral describes it as "tRNA-Ser". The record is from RNAcentral. Lineage: Eukaryota; Metazoa; Chordata; Myxini; Myxiniformes; Myxinidae.
AGAGAUGAUACCUCAGAAAUUGCUAAUUCCUGUCUCUGUGACUGAACUCCCAGCAUCUUUA